This 237-nucleotide ribosomal RNA is filed under the name uncultured bacterium. RNAcentral's name for it is "partial 16S ribosomal RNA". It matches the Rfam family "Bacterial small subunit ribosomal RNA", at positions 15 to 248 of the family's 1533-position model. The record is from RNAcentral.
GAUCCUGGCUCAGGAUGAACGCUAGCUACAGGCUUAACACAUGCAAGUCGAGGGGCAGCAUGGUCUAGCAAUAGACUGAUGGCGACCGGCGCACGGGUGAGUAACACGUAUCCAACCUGCCGAUUAUUCCGGGAUAGCCUUUCGAAAGAAAGAUUAAUACUGGAUAGCAUAACGAGAAGGCAUCUUCUUGUUAUUAAAGAAUUUCGAUAAUCGAUGGGGAUGCGUUCCAUUAGUUUG